This 1224-nucleotide long non-coding RNA is filed under the name Bos taurus (domestic cattle). RNAcentral describes it as "long non-coding RNA NONBTAT017997". The record is from RNAcentral. Lineage: Eukaryota; Metazoa; Chordata; Mammalia; Artiodactyla; Bovidae.
UCGGAUUGAUUCUGAUUCUAACAUCCUGAAGAAUUCUGUGCUAUUCAUUGUAAAACCACAAGUGAGGAAGGACCAUAGAUGAGACUACAGAGGAGAAGUCAUUGAAGACCGCAUGAGGAGAGAAGUUGAGAUUUAGGGAUUAUAAAUUCAGGCAGGAGGACCUCAUUCGUGUCAUUGGUCUUGAGGGUCAAGAAAAAAAAAUUCUAAGAAGCUAGCCAUGAAGGCUCUUGCCUCUGCUCUCACUUCUUUCCUACAGUCUGGGCCUUGGCUGCUAAAAGGCUGCUCUGGGAGCCAGGCUGUGGGCCUGAAGAAACACGCUCAGUCAUGCUCAUGUGGAGUCCUACAUUUCAGAUGUUCUCAGCUGCCAGGUGUAUUGUUAGGGAGACAGGAAGAAAAGGGAAGAAUGGUCGCUCCGGGGCUUAGUGCUGCUGUGGGGCUGGAGCAGCAGGUUCUCAGGAGAUGAUUCACCUUGGUGAAAGCUGGGGAAGGCGGUUAGGGAGAAAUAGAAGGAGCACUGAGAAAUCUCUGCCUUCCUGGAGCUCAGCUCCUGUCCUCUGAGAGGUAGCAACGCUGAUCAUGAACCAGGUGGAGGAAAGAGGGGCUGCGGGUGGCCAGCAUCGUCUAUCUGAUUAUCACUAGCUUGGCCUGAACCACACUGAAUGCAGUCUGCUCGUUAGGACAGAGAGGGCCAAGUGAGAGCUAGCAAUUCAAGAGAGGAAGAGUCUGUCUUUAGUCCUCUCUUGACCUCUCAGCCCACCAGUUCUGAUAUGCCACACAUCUGGCCCAGUGAGAACUAAUGAACUUGCUGAUGCACACGUGGGGCGUUGGGGUGUGUCUACACGUCUUUCCUGACCAGCCAUUCACUUUUCAGGCCGUCAUUCAGAUUGGAUAGGAAAAAGUUGGUGAGGAAGGAAGGAGAGAGCAGGAUGCCGUGAUUCCCUGGCCCCUAGGGCAACUCCUUGACUGUCACUUGUAAUUGUAUAUAAUUUUUGUGUUUCUUGCUUCAUUUCCUCAUGCUGUCUUCCUUAGUCUAAAGUCCAUGUGGGAAGGGGAAAAUGCCGAAUAUCCUUGUAUAGUUUCCUCAACCGUCCCAGACAUGUUGUACAUAGAUAUGUCAUGUUGUAGAUGCCACCUGCUCCCACAGCAUGAAGUGCAUAGCUUCCGUGGCAGAAAAGGGUCAUUUGAAAUUCAGUUUGCUUUGAUUAAACCUAGAAUAUUAAGUCC